This 1485-nucleotide ribosomal RNA is filed under the name metagenome. RNAcentral describes it as "bacterial SSU rRNA". It matches the Rfam family "Bacterial small subunit ribosomal RNA". The record is from RNAcentral.
AGAGUUUGAUCCUGGCUCAGGACGAACGCUGGCGGCGUGCUUAACACAUGCAAGUCAGGGGGAAAGUUUUCUUCGGAGAAUGAGUAUACCGGCGGACGGGUGAGUAACGCGUAGGCGACCUGCCCUUAUGUUUGGGAUAACCUUGGGAAACCGGGGCUAAUACCGGAUGUGGUCAUGUAUUUACGGAUAGAUGAUUAAAGCCUUCGGGCGCAUAAGGAGGGGCCUGCGUCCCAUUAGCUUGUUGGUAGGGUAACGGCCUACCAAGGCGACGAUGGGUAGCUGGUCUGAGAGGAUGAUCAGCCACACUGGGACUGAGAUACGGCCCAGACUCCUACGGGAGGCAGCAGUGGGGAAUAUUGCGCAAUGGGCGAAAGCCUGACGCAGCGACGCCGCGUGAGCGAAGAAGCUCUACGGAGUGUAAAGCUCUUUUGCACGGGAAGAAAACGGUUACAGACCAAUUGACGGUACCGUGCGAAUAAGCCCCGGCUAACUACGUGCCAGCAGCCGCGGUAAUACGUAGGGGGCGAGCGUUGUCCGGAAUCACUGGGUAUAAAGGGCGUGUAGGCGGCCAGAUAAGUUGGAUGUGAAAGGUUACGGCUCAACCGUAGAUUGUCAUUAAAAACUGUCUGGCUUGAGUUCAGUAGGGGGUGGUGGAAUUCCUGGUGUAGCGGUGAAAUGCGUAGAUAUCAGGAAGAACACCGGAGGCGAAGGCGGCCACCUGGGCUGACACUGACGCUGAGGCGCGAAAGCGUGGGGAGCAAACAGGAUUAGAUACCCUGGUAGUCCACGCUGUAAACGAUGGGUACUAGGUGCUGGCAUGGUGAAUGUCGGUGCCGCAGCAAACGCAUUAAGUACCCCACCUGGGGAGUACGAUCGCAAGGUUGAAACUCAAAGGAAUUGACGGGGGCCCGCACAAGCGGUGGAGCAUGUGGUUUAAUUCGAUGCAACGCGCAGAACCUUACCGGGGCUUGAACUGCCGGUGAUCUGCCUGAAAGGGUUAGUGUCCAGGCUUGCCUGGAAGCCAGUGGAGGUGCUGCAUGGCUGUCGUCAGCUCGUGUCGUGAGAUGUUGGGUUAAGUCCCGCAACGAGCGCAACCCUUGCCCUUAGUUGCUCGCCUGUAUAGGCAGCACUCUAAGGGGACUGCCGGUGAUAAACUGGAGGAAGGUGGGGAUGACGUCAAGUCCUCAUGGCCCUUACGUCCCGGGCUACACACGUGCUACAAUGGUCGGUACAACGAGUCGCAAGACCGCGAGGUGGAGCAAAUCUCUGAAAACCGAUCUCAGUUCGGAUUGCAGUCUGCAACUCGACUGCAUGAAGUCGGAAUCGCUAGUAAUCGCGGAUCAGCCACGCCGCGGUGAAUACGUUCCCGGGCCUUGUACACACCGCCCGUCACGCCAUGGAAGCCGGUAAUACCCGAAGCCGGUGUCCCCCUCGGGGGGCCGUCGAAGGUAGGACUGGUAACUGGGGCGAAGUCGUAACAAGGUA